This 663-nucleotide ribosomal RNA is filed under the name uncultured bacterium. Its description in RNAcentral is "bacterial SSU rRNA". It matches the Rfam family "Bacterial small subunit ribosomal RNA", at positions 99 to 798 of the family's 1533-position model. The record is from RNAcentral.
CGGACGGGUGAGUAACGCGUGAGAAUCUGCCUUCAGGAUGGGGACAACAGCGGGAAACUGCUGCUAAUACCCAAUGUGCCGCAAGGUGAAAGAAAUUCGCCUGAAGAGGAGCUCGCGUCUGAUUAGCUAGUUGGUGGAGUAAAAGCCUACCAAGGCGACGAUCAGUAGCUGGUCUGAGAGGAUGAGCAGCCACACUGGGACUGAGACACGGCCCAGACUCCUACGGGAGGCAGCAGUGGGGAAUUUUCCGCAAUGGGCGAAAGCCUGACGGAGCAAUACCGCGUGAGGGAGGAAGGUUCAAGUAAUUGUAAACCUCUUUUAUCAGGGAAGAAAAAAAUGACGGUACCUGAUGAAAAAGCAUCGGCUAACUCCGUGCCAGCAGCCGCGGUAAUACGGAGGAUGCAAGCGUUAUCCGGAAUUAUUGGGCGUAAAGCGUCCGCAGGUGGUAGUACAAGUCUGCUGUCAAAGACCAGAGCUUAACUCUGGGCAGGCGGUGGAAACUGUAAUACUAGAGACCGGUAGGGGUAGAGGGAAUUCCCAGUGUAGCGGUGAAAUGCGUAGAGAUUGGGAAGAACACCAGUGGCGAAGGCGCUCUACUGGGCCGGAACUGACACUAAGGGACGAAAGCUAGGGGAGCGAAAGGGAUUAGAUACCCCUGCCUGA